This 883-nucleotide ribosomal RNA is filed under the name uncultured bacterium. RNAcentral describes it as "bacterial SSU rRNA". It matches the Rfam family "Bacterial small subunit ribosomal RNA", at positions 21 to 902 of the family's 1533-position model. The record is from RNAcentral.
GGCUCAGGAUGAACGCUAGCGGCAGGCUUAAUACAUGCAAGUCGUACGGGAUCCGAGGUAGCAAUACUUUGGUGAGAGUGGCGCACGGGUGCGUAACACGUAUGCAACCUACCUUUAACCGGGACACAACCUCGAGAAAUUGAGGCUAAUAUCCCAUAACACUGCGAAGUGGCAUCACUUUGCAGUUAAAACUCCGGUGGUUAUUGAUGGGCAUGCGCGACAUUAGCUAGUUGGUGAGGUAACGGCCCACCAAGGCUACGAUGUCUAGGGGUUCUGAGAGGAUUAUCCCCCACACUGGUACUGAGACACGGACCAGACUCCUACGGGAGGCAGCAGUAAGGAAUAUUGGUCAAUGGGCGCAAGCCUGAACCAGCCAUGCCGCGUGAAGGAUGACGGCCCUAUGGGUUGUAAACUUCUUUUGUACGGGAAAAAACCACCGGUCGUGUAUCGGUGCUGAUGGUACCGUAAGAAUAAGCAUCGGCUAACUCCGUGCCAGCAGCCGCGGUAAUACGGAGGAUGCAAGCGUUAUCCGGAUUCAUUGGGUUUAAAGGGUGCGCAGGCGGAGUGAUAAGUCAGUGGUGAAAGCCUACAGCUUAACUGUAGAACUGCCAUUGAUACUGUCAUUCUUGAGUAUUGUUGAGGUAGGCGGAAUGUGUCAUGUAGCGGUGAAAUGCUUAGAUAUGACACAGAACACCGAUCGCGAAGGCAGCUUACCAAGCAAUAACUGACGCUCAUGCACGAAAGCGUGGGGAUCAAACAGGAUUAGAUACCCUGGUAGUCCACGCCGUAAACGAUGAUCACUCGAUGUUGGCGAUACACAGUCAGCGUCUUAGGGAAACUAUUAAGUGAUCCACCUGGGGAGUACGGUCGCAAGAUGAAACUC